GGCCUUCAAAAAUCUGUGCCUUUCCAGCCAUCAUACCUCAGUGAAAGGAGUCACUGGUGAGGAGCCACAUGCCCAGUGGAAGAUGGAUGAGUCCUAUCUUUGUACACUAAAGAUGCAGUGAGGAAGAUGAACCCAGGUGCCAGUACCUUGAUGUUGGACUGCCCAGCUCCAGAUUUCAACCGCCCCCUCAGAAGAGUGGCUGCGCUUUCCACCAGCUGUAAAUGAAGGAGGGAAGAGAGCGCUUUUCUGACUGGUCCUGUGAACAGCACCGGAUUCAAAGGAAGGGCUGAAAAUACCGCUGUCUGAUUGGCUGCAGGUCCUUUGAGGACUGGGAAUGCAGUGUAGUGGUAAAUCACCAGGCCUGGGGCCCUGGGCUUGAUCUCCUCCUGCCCCAGAGAAGAAGUCUUCCAGCUAUAUUCUCCCGAGCAACAAAAGGAAAUCCUUAUCAUAUUUUAUAUGACACAAGUCCUUUGAUAUUUUUGUUGAAAGAUAUUUAACAAAAUUUCUAUUGUCAUCUGAAACACUUGGUUAGACCAUUUCUUUAGCAAUGUUCUGUUCAUUUUACCUCAGUGAUUACAAUUACAAAUAUUGCAAAACAAAGAUAAAGCCAAUUUCACUUGCAUACCCAUUUUUCUGUGGGUUUAGACUCUCAAAAUAUGGUGACACAAGAUGAGAACUUACCAUGAUGCAAAUCUGAGCUCAAAUUUAUGAAAUAAACCAAUUCAGUUCAGCUGUGAUUAAAUAAAGACACAGAGGAAAACCAUUUUUUUCCGGAUUGCAAGUGAUUCAUUAAUUCAUGUAACCUUGUAUCUGCUGUUAUUUUUCUAAGUGCUUGGUAUAAUCAGUGAACAAAGCAGACAAAAUUCCUGUUUGCUUAUGAACUAGUUUCUCGAAUUAAAAUUGUUCCAAUUUAAAACGUUUUCCCUUACAAUGGUCUAUUUUAGACACCGUUAGACUCUUGGGUGGCUGCUUCUUUUCUCUAUUAGUAGAAGGGACUUCCUGGAAACAUUCAAGAAACACUGCUGUAGGUCUCUAACUUCCCUAGGUACCUAUGGUAGUUAAUUGAUCAGGCCGCUCUUUUGGGGGAAUGUGAAAUACGCGAGUGGACAGAAGAGGGUGACCUCCUGUGACAUCCGGUGACACAGAUGCGGCUGAGGGAGCCACAGAGGCCUCACAGAUUGGAAGAGGCAGGAAGUUCCUAUUUUCAGACCCUGGCCUUUCACUCUGGAUCACACUGAAUCCAUCCAGGAAAUUCCUGCUCUUGGAAUCCCUUUUCUUGGGCUCCGCGCAGAUCAGCUCCCUUCUAUUUAGACAGGACUCAGACUAAGUGGUUACAUUUCAUCCUCUGUACUUACAUCGCAGUGUAUGUUGUUCCUUGGCUGCAUGCAGCUCUCACUGAAACAAUACAGGCGUUCCCACUGUUUAACUACCUCCUGUAACAGUGUCAUUUUUUCAAUUCUAAAAAUGAUGUCUGUAUUUAAUUAUGAGUCUAUUUUAAAUAUGUGUUGCAGGAAAAUAUAAUUUUUAAUGUCUGGGCAUCUAAUGUUGCUUUUACCAUCUAUCAUAUGAGUUAUGAGUGAUUUUGUUAUAUUAGUAAAGUUUUGAGUUCUGGGGAUAGAGUCAGAAGAAAAUAACAGUAAAUGUGGAGAGAGAAGAGAGGGCUCCUCUUUGCAUCUUUCUCAUUCCCUCGCAGUGAGGUCCUCUGUGGGCGUCCUGUCCCUUGCAGUUCCUGAAAAUUCCUGAGGUAAGCACUCAGCCUGCUGGGUAGUGGGUCGGGUCAGUGGUGGUUACUCUCCUAACUGCCUUUGGGUGGGUCCUGGCUCCUGCACUCUGAGUUUCUUGAUCUCAGAUCUCGCUUUUACAGGUUUCCUUGCCUGGACACUUGUUUCUACCCAGGCUUUGCAUGCAGUGUGGAGCGCUGCUCAAGAAAUCUCCUUGAGGAUGAGCACCUGUGUAGCUCCUGUCCCAAGUCCUUGUGUGAUGCUGUUACAGGCUCUGGAUCUGGCGGGAAGCUCACUCUUGCUUUUGCUGAGCAAAUACCUCAUCAAUGCAUUGAGGCCGGCUAUCAACUCCACCAUUUUGCUUUUGAUGACCUCCCCCCGCCCAGGUCUCAGCUUCUCUUUUAGCCUGAGCUUUCCUAGAAAAAGUUUUUAUUACCAACAAUGUGUCUUCCACAGUUUAAUAAUUCUUUCCUAUUAUUCCUACACUUACCUUCCUUUAAAAAAUACUGUGGCUACUUCUUUGACUUUCAUUACAAACUAACAGAGAACAUUAACUCAGACAACCCCAUCACUGGGUUAUUUUAAACCCAAAAUUUCUAGCAAAGAUUGAAAUAAAGAUAUAUUAUUCAGGCUUGAUCAUUGGGUAUUAUUUUAAAACUGAUCGGCCUUAGGUAGAAAAAAAUGUGCAGAUCUCAAAUAGCAGCAUUAAACUUGUUUAAUGAUUCUUAUAACACUGGCACACAAAUGAUUUAAUUGGAAUAUGAAGCUUCAAAGAGGAACUGAUGGCAGAGCACAAUUAAAUCAAAGCGAGAGGUAAACGGGAAGAAAUUGCUUGCUACAGUUAGAAUGUGCGCCUACAAAAUUCCCAUAGCAAGUUAGUCUCCACUGCAAUAGUAUUCAGAGUGAGGACCUUAAGCCAUGACUAAAUCAUGGGGGCUCCUCCCUCAUGAACAAGAUUUGGGGCCCUUAUUGAAAGAGACUACACACCAGCCAGCUCCUUUCUGCUGUUCUGUAUUUCUGCCACGUAGGGUGAGCAUAUGGCCUUUGUCAUGUGAGGUAUGGCAACAAGGCACCAUCCUGGAUGCAAAGAACAGUCCUCUGCAGACAGUGAAUUUGCCAGCACCUUGAUCUUAGAAAUCCCACCCUCCAGAACUGUGAAAGACACAUUUCUGUCCUUUAUGAGUUCUCCAGGUCCAGGUAUAUUCUUAUAGCAGCACAAUGGACCGAGAUGGUGCUUCAUAAGGAAGGCUCCCAUUUAUCCUGCAGUGCAUGUACGAUAUAUAGCAUGAAACUUUCUGUGACUCUUUCGGGCUGAGAAGGCCAGAAUUUUGUAAAUGCUUAUUUUUUUUGUUUGUUUGUUUUGUUUUCCGGUACUGGGAACCGAACUCACGACCUUGCACUUGCCAGGCAGGCGCUUUGCCGCUGAGCUAAACCCCCAGCCCCUGUAAAUGCUUAUUGAUUUCACCUUCAACAUCACGUUCCAUGUACAAAGCUUAUAUGAAAUCAGAGGACAGGCACUGAAAGUAGGACAGAUUUUUCUAAAAUCAGCUUUGCAUGCUUCUUGUAUUUGUUAAAACCGUAUAAAGAAAGAGGGGUGAUUUUUGAUUAAGAUCAUAGAAUUAAAAGAAACUAAAUAAAAAUAAAAUAAUUCCAGUGUCAUGUAUAAAACGUAACAGAACAAAAAUGAAAAAAUAAGUGUUCAUUCUUUUUCUUCCUCUUUUCUUUGUAUGGGAAAAGAAGAUAGGAAAAAGAGCCUAAGCCAGCAGACUGAAGAGCUACUUAUUUUUAUCAUCUCAAAAGAUGUAUUCUAAUUAUCGUUUUUGGAGCAUUAAUACAGGGAAAGAGGACACAGUAUUAGAGGCUCAGCUCUGAUACCAUCCUUGUAACGCUGGCAGCACAGGCACCCACAGUCUCAGGGGCUUUGCCUUUAAUCAAGACUGUUAGCUAGGCACCAUGGCACACAUCUGUAAUCUCAGCCACGCAAGACGCUGAGGUAGGAGGGUCUCCUGAUCACGGCCAGUUUGGGGAAUUUCGUGUGACCUUUUCUCAAAACAAAGUAAUGAAAAAGGCUGAGGGUGUAGCUCGGUGCACAGUGACCCUGGGUUCAGUCCCACAGUACUGCAAAAACAAACACACACAGCCAGACUGUUCUGAGUGACUCCUAACUGGAUUCUUCUCUAAUCUCCGCCCCUCAGAUCUUCAUAUGAGACUCUAGAUUUUUCUUGUUCUUCCCCUUUUUUGUUAGAAUUUGCCAGUCUAACCCAUUGGAUUUGUUAGAUCAUUGAAAUGUGAAUUCAGUUUUAAGUCUUGUUAUCUUACUUCCACAGAAACAAAAAUUAUUUCCUAUGAUAAGAAAAAUUUAUAUAUCAAAAUAAUUGAGUAACCAUCAUCGCUGGCACUUGCCCAAGGGCUCUCUCUACAGUUUUUAAAAACUUUUUUGCAUGAGGAAGCCCAUUUUUUGAAGAAGCAUAUUUUCUAAGUGAGAUGAAUAAGACACAGUUUUAAAUUCUGACGAAAGGACUUGCCACUUAAGAAAAACAUGGAGAAGCCAAAGCAAAGUAGUAUUACAAAUGCAAAUUUCAGAAGUGAAUGCUCUUUUCAAAGAAGACUGUUGGUCAGGUGUGGUGGCCCAUGCCUGUCAUCCCAGCACUCUGGAGGGUGAGGCAGGAGGAUAACUGUGAGUUCAAA
Long non-coding RNA from Chinchilla lanigera (long-tailed chinchilla), 4409 nucleotides. RefSeq lists it as uncharacterized. The record is from RefSeq and is a predicted model, not a curated record. Lineage: Eukaryota; Metazoa; Chordata; Mammalia; Rodentia; Chinchillidae. The transcript has 5 exons.